Molecule: ribosomal RNA, 229 nt
Filed under: uncultured bacterium
Lineage: Bacteria
Description: partial 16S ribosomal RNA
Rfam family: Bacterial small subunit ribosomal RNA
Source: RNAcentral
UGCGUAGGCGGGUUCUUAAGUCAGUGGUGAAAUCCUGCGGCUCAACCGUAGAACUGCCAUUGAUACUGAGAACCUUGAAUAUAAUUGAGGUAGGCGGAAUGAGUAGUGUAGCGGUGAAAUGCUUAGAUAUUACUCAGAACACCAAUUGCGAAGGCAGCUUACUAAAUUAUGAUUGACGCUGAUGCACGAAAGCGUGGGGAGCGAACAGGAUUAGAUACCCUGGUAGUCC